This 1542-nucleotide ribosomal RNA is filed under the name Escherichia coli. Its description in RNAcentral is "bacterial SSU rRNA". It matches the Rfam family "Bacterial small subunit ribosomal RNA". The record is from RNAcentral. Lineage: Bacteria; Pseudomonadati; Pseudomonadota; Gammaproteobacteria; Enterobacterales; Enterobacteriaceae.
AAAUUGAAGAGUUUGAUCAUGGCUCAGAUUGAACGCUGGCGGCAGGCCUAACACAUGCAAGUCGAACGGUAACAGGAAACAGCUUGCUGUUUCGCUGACGAGUGGCGGACGGGUGAGUAAUGUCUGGGAAACUGCCUGAUGGAGGGGGAUAACUACUGGAAACGGUAGCUAAUACCGCAUAACGUCGCAAGACCAAAGAGGGGGACCAUCGGGCCUCUUGCCAUCGGAUGUGCCCAGAUGGGAUUAGCUUGUUGGUGGGGUAACGGCUCACCAAGGCGACGAUCCCUAGCUGGUCUGAGAGGAUGACCAGCCACACUGGAACUGAGACACGGUCCAGACUCCUACGGGAGGCAGCAGUGGGGAAUAUUGCACAAUGGGCGCAAGCCUGAUGCAGCCAUGCCGCGUGUAUGAAGAAGGCCUUCGGGUUGUAAAGUACUUUCAGCGGGGAGGAAGGGAGUAAAGUUAAUACCUUUGCUCAUUGACGUUACCCGCAGAAGAAGCACCGGCUAACUCCGUGCCAGCAGCCGCGGUAAUACGGAGGGUGCAAGCGUUAAUCGGAAUUACUGGGCGUAAAGCGCACGCAGGCGGUUUGUUAAGUCAGAUGUGAAAUCCCCGGGCUCAACCUGGGAACUGCAUCUGAUACUGGCAAGCUUGAGUCUCGUAGAGGGGGGUAGAAUUCCAGGUGUAGCGGUGAAAUGCGUAGAGAUCUGGAGGAAUACCGGUGGCGAAGGCGGCCCCCUGGACGAAGACUGACGCUCAGGUGCGAAAGCGUGGGGAGCAAACAGGAUUAGAUACCCUGGUAGUCCACGCCGUAAACGAUGUCGACUUGGAGGUUGUGCCCUUGAGGCGUGGCUUCCGGAGCUAACGCGUUAAGUCGACCGCCUGGGGAGUACGGCCGCAAGGUUAAAACUCAAAUGAAUUGACGGGGGCCCGCACAAGCGGUGGAGCAUGUGGUUUAAUUCGAUGCAACGCGAAGAACCUUACCUGGUCUUGACAUCCACGGAAGUUUUCAGAGAUGAGAAUGUGCCUUCGGGAACCGUGAGACAGGUGCUGCAUGGCUGUCGUCAGCUCGUGUUGUGAAAUGUUGGGUUAAGUCCCGCAACGAGCGCAACCCUUAUCCUUUGUUGCCAGCGGUCCGGCCGGGAACUCAAAGGAGACUGCCAGUGAUAAACUGGAGGAAGGUUGGGAUGACGUCAAGUCAUCAUGGCCCUUACGACCAGGGCUACACACGUGCUACAAUGGCGCAUACAAAGAGAAGCGACCUCGCGAGAGCAAGCGGACCUCAUAAAGUGCGUCGUAGUCCGGAUUGGAGUCUGCAACUCGACUCCAUGAAGUCGGAAUCGCUAGUAAUCGUGGAUCAGAAUGCCACGGUGAAUACGUUCCCGGGCCUUGUACACACCGCCCGUCACACCAUGGGAGUGGGUUGCAAAAGAAGUAGGUAGCUUAACCUUCGGGAGGGCGCUUACCACUUUGUGAUUCAUGACUGGGGUGAAGUCGUAACAAGGUAACCGUAGGGGAACCUGCGGUUGGAUCACCUCCUUA